AUUGAACGCUGGCGGCAGGCCUAACACAUGCAAGUCGAACGAGUGGCGGACGGGUGAGUAAUGUCUGGGAAACUGCCAGAUGGAGGGGGAUAACUACUGGAAACGGUAGCUAAUACCGCAUACCAUCGAAUGUGCCCAGAUGGGAUUAGCUAGGAGGGGGGGUAAAGGCUCACCUAGGCGACGAUCCCUAGCUGGUCUGAGAGGAUGACCAGCCACACUGGAACUGAGACACGGUACAGACUCCGACGGGAGGCAGCAGUGGGGAAUAUUGCACAAUGGGCGCAAGCCUGAUGCAGCCAUGCCGCGUGUAUGAAGAAGGCCUUCGGGUUGUAAAGUACUUUCAGCGAGGAGGCGUUACUCGCAGAAGAAGCACCGGCUAACUCCGUGCCAGCCGCCGCGGUAAUUC
RNAcentral lists this ribosomal RNA (406 nucleotides) under uncultured bacterium. RNAcentral describes it as "partial 16S ribosomal RNA". It matches the Rfam family "Bacterial small subunit ribosomal RNA", at positions 30 to 526 of the family's 1533-position model. The record is from RNAcentral.